CCAAUAGCGUAUAUUAAAGUUGUUGCAGUUAAAAGGCUCGUAGUUGAAUUUCGGGAUCAAUACGUCGGUCGUGCCUCUGGUAUGUACUGGUGUUAUUGAUUUCUCCCUUCUGAUGAACCAUGAUGUCAUUCAUUUGGUGUUGUGUGGAGUCAGGACUGUUACUUUGAAAAAAUUAGAGUGUUUAAAGCAGGCUCACGCUUGAAUACAUUAGCAUGGAAUAAUGAAAUAGGACGUUCGAUCCUAUUUUGUUGGUUUCUAGGAUCAACGUAAUGAUUAAUAGGGAUAGUUGGGGGCAUUAGUAUUCAAUUGUCAGAGGUGAAAUUCUUGGAUUUAUUGAAGACUAACUACUGCGAAAGCAUUUGCCAAGGAUGUUUUCAUUAAUCAAGAACGAAAGUUAGGGGAUCGAAGACGAUCAGAUACCGUCGUAGUCUUAACCAUAAACUAUGCCGACUAGGGAUCGGAUGAUGUUAAUUUUUUAAUGACUCAUUCGGCGCCUUACG
Molecule: ribosomal RNA, 500 nt
Filed under: uncultured Glomeromycotina
Lineage: Eukaryota; Fungi; Glomeromycota
Description: partial small subunit ribosomal RNA
Rfam family: Eukaryotic small subunit ribosomal RNA
Source: RNAcentral